GAUGAACGCUGGCGGCGUGCCUAACACAUGCAAGUCGAACGGAGUCGUUUUGGAAAUCUCUUCGGAGAUGGAAUUCUCGACUUAGUGGCGGACGGGUGAGUAACGCGUGAGCAAUCUGCCUUUAAGAGGGGGAUAACAGUCGGAAACGGCUGCUAAUACCGCAUAAAGCAUUAAAUUCGCAUGUUUUUGAUGCCAAAGGAGCAAUCCGCUUUUAGAUGAGCUCGCGUCUGAUUAGCUAGUUGGCGGGGUAACGGCCCACCAAGGCGACGAUCAGUAGCCGGACUGAGAGGUUGAACGGCCACAUGGGGACUGAGACACGGCCCAGACUACUACGGGAGGCAGCAGUGGGGAAUAUUGCGCAAUGGGGGAAACCCUGACGCAGCAACGCCGCGUGAUUGAAGAAGGCCUUCGGGUUGUAAAGAUCUGUAAUCAGGGACGAAACAAAUGACGGUACCUGAAGAAUAAGCUCCGGCUAACUACGUG
This 483-nucleotide ribosomal RNA is filed under the name uncultured bacterium. RNAcentral describes it as "partial 16S ribosomal RNA". It matches the Rfam family "Bacterial small subunit ribosomal RNA", at positions 28 to 507 of the family's 1533-position model. The record is from RNAcentral.